RNAcentral lists this long non-coding RNA (1278 nucleotides) under Bemisia tabaci. Its description in RNAcentral is "lncRNA ENSSSA1NGG005264". Lineage: Eukaryota; Metazoa; Arthropoda; Insecta; Hemiptera; Aleyrodidae. The record is from RNAcentral.
UCGAAUUUUCUGACUCAUAGCAGGAGAGGUUUUUUCUCUGGAAAUGGUCGGUGCGAGUUCGGAAUUUCCUUUGAAAAACGAGCAUUGUUUUUUCGAGUAAAUGUUUUAAAAUAAAACACAUUUUAAGGCAAUAAUAUGUAGAUAGAUACAAAAGAACAAGUAAAGCAAAAUUCAAACGUUGAGACCACCUUUGGAAACAGAUGGUCUUGAUGCAUAGUUCUAUAAUGGUUUACCGAACGUGUAAAAAACUCUUAACGUUCGCAUAAAAAAGUUACCGUAAAGCGGAAGGCUACACCCAAACUGCCGUGAGGCUCUGCUAUGAUGUGAAUAUUUCACUAAUAUUUUUAUUACUCUCGUGUGCGAAGAGCCGUCGGUUCCUCUCCGCGAGUGUCUAUUUUAAAUACUUAUAAGUACCGUUAUACUUUUCUUUGGCCCAUCAUUUCGUGUGGGAAAAGUAGUGUAAAUCGAUACGAAAGCCUGUUCAAGUGUGCUCUCCAAUUUCAGCUGCCCCUUUAAAAUAAAGUGAUACUCGCGGAGAGUGUUUUCAUGCUGAUUUUGGUGGCUACUUUAUCCUAACUGCAUGACGAUUGAGCAACUUCCAAAUUAAAAAGAAAACUUCAUCGAGGAUUAACUAAAGAUGAACUUCUCCCAUCAGCCAGAUGAGUUAUUUUUUAGUACACCGUUUUGGCUACCACCGAACGUGACCUGGGACUAUUUGAACGAUUCGAUAUAGGAGAUGGCUUUCAAUUCCCGAGCGUCAAAGAUCUAUACGCCGCCUGGAAGUUAGUUCCUCUGUUUUUGAUCGCAAAAUAUGGGGUGGAAAAAUACGUUGGUCCAAAGGUUGGCGCAUGGUUUGGGAUACAAGGUGAAGAGCGUAAAAAACCACCACAUGUGGACUUGCUAGAAAAAGCCCAUCGGUCCAAGCCUUGGGGGAAAUGGAGUGACAAUGAAAUAUCAGCGCUUACGAAACAACUUGACUGGACCGAGGAACAAAUUAGAGAAUGGCUCAAAGCCAGAAGAAAAUUCGCAUUGCCUACGACUUUAGAGAAAUUCAGUGAAAGCUUGUAAGUACUUCAAAGAAGUAAAUUGUCUAUUAAUACAAUAUUCACCUUCCAAGUUUUACUACUUUCGCCCAUUCAUUGUCAACGUAUAUUUUAUCUAUUCUGCAUGAUAUGUUUACGACAAAACAUGCCUAGUGUGGCCUUAUUCCCCUUUUCAAUUUAAUUAAAAUUACCAUGUCCAGUGUUCUAUUGAGGUUCUCGAUUCUAAAAUGCUUGA